This 253-nucleotide ribosomal RNA is filed under the name uncultured bacterium. Its description in RNAcentral is "partial 16S ribosomal RNA". It matches the Rfam family "Bacterial small subunit ribosomal RNA", at positions 524 to 776 of the family's 1533-position model. The record is from RNAcentral.
GACGUAGGGUGCAAGCGUUGUCCGGAAUUAUUGGGCGUAAAGAGCUCGUAGGCGGUCUGUCGCGUCUGCUGUGAAAACUCGGGGCUUAACCCCGGGCCUGCAGUGGGUACGGGCAGACUAGAGUGCGGUAGGGGAGACUGGAAUUCCUGGUGUAGCGGUGAAAUGCGCAGAUAUCAGGAGGAACACCGGUGGCGAAGGCGGGUCUCUGGGCCGUAACUGACGCUGAGGAGCGAAAGCAUGGGGAGCGAACAGG